AUGGCAGAAGGUCUGAUACUUGUCGUGCUUUCGAAAAUCGGAGCUACCUUUGGAGGAGUUGCACUGAAUGCAAUUAGGUUGAAAUUGGGGAAGGAAGGCAACAUUUUACUUGAAACAGAAAACAGGAUGAAACAAAUUGAGAUUGAAUUUGAGAUCAUGCAGGCCUUCAUAAGUCAAGUAGAUCCAUAUAGUGAAAAUAACCAAAUUCUCAAAGCAUGGCUGAAGCACAUAAGGAAGAUUGCCUCUGAAGUUGAGGAUAUCAUCGACGAAUAUUCAUUUCUCCUUGGAAAAAUGGACAAUGCAGAAGGUCUUCUGAAUAAGGCACUCCAUCGAUCAAGGAGGGUGAAGGCAUGGAAAGAUAUUUCUGCUCAGCUCAAACAAGUACAAGAAAGACUUCAAAAUCUAUCAACUGUGAAAGAAAGAUACGGCAUAACAGUAGCUGCUGGACUUGGGGGUGGAUCUUCACGCCACAAUGUUACUCGUAAGAUGUACAUGUCUGAUUCUUCCUACUUAAAUGAUAAUGACAAUGAAGAAAUCAUAGGAAAUGAAGAUGAAGCAAAAAAGUUGACACAAUGCAUAGAUGAUGAUGGUUUGGAUCGUACAAUUAUCUCCGUCUGUGGAAUGGGUGGUUCCGGCAAAACAACUCUUGUAAGCAGCAUCUAUAGGAAACAAAAAAUCAGAAAAAACUUCAAUUGCUAUGCUUGGAUCACGGUAUCACCAAAUUAUCCCGUUGAAGAUCUUCUAAGUAAACUGAUCAACCAACUUUGUAUCCCUGAUGAGCUAGCUGGUACAACUGAUCCAACAGAUUUGGUGGAUAAAAUCCACAGUUACCUCGGGAACAAGAGAUACCUUGUUGUCUUGGAUGACAUGUGGAAUAGAGAUUCUUGGUUAUUCCUUGAACGAGCAUUUGUCAAGAAUAAGUGCAGAAGUAGAGUCAUCAUUACUACUCGCACAGAAGCUGUUGCAUCAUUUGCAGAGGAUAACCAGACUAUCAGAAUUGGUCUUCUUCCACAGAGAGAAUCAUGGGACCUUUUCAGCAGAAAAGCAUUCUCAAGGCAAAACAGGGCAACAUCGGGAUGCCCUCAAGGUCUUGUUCCCUGGGCAGAAAAAAUUCUGGAGAGAUGCCAAGGCUUGCCCCUCGCUAUAGUAGCUAUAGGGAGUCUCCUAUCUUACAGAGAUAUGGAGGAACAUGAGUGGAAACUAUUCUACAAUCAACUGAAUUGGCAACUAACAAAUAAUCCAGAGCUGAACUGGGUUUCAAGUUUCCUGAAGCUAAGCUUGGAUGAUCUUCCAAGCCACUUGAGGAACUGUUUCUUGUACUGUGGGUUAUUCCCCGAAAAUUACCCAAUACGACGGAAAUGGAUAAUCAGAUUGUGGGUAGCUGAAGGUUUCGUCGAGGAUCGCGGAACAGAGACGACUCUGGAGGAAGUCGCCGAGGAUUACCUCAAAGAACUUGCUCAGCGCUCACUGAUUCAAGUGACGGAAAGGAAUGAGUACGGAAGGCCAAAAAGAUUUCAGGUGCAUGAUCUUGUGAGAGAAAUGACGCUGACCAUAUCAAGAAAAGAGAGGUUCGCUCUUAUCUGUAAUAACCCAGACGUGACAGACGGCGGCGACGAAGCAAGCCGUGUAUCAGUGCAUUGCGGAGGCCAGGUCUUUCAGCCAGGCCCAGCUUCACAACAUCUGCGCUCGUUUUUGUUGUUCGACAGGCAUGUGCCGGUUCCAUGGAUCUGCGCUGCUUCAUCGAAUUUCAGGCUGCUAAGGGUGUUGUGCCUCAGAUACUCCCUCCUCGAGCACAUCCCAGAUGCCAUUACAACUGGUCUGUUCAAUCUGCACUACCUUGAUUUCUCGCGUACGAAAGUGAAGACGAUACCAAGAUCAAUAGCGAGGCUCAAGAAACUGCAGUCGUUGCACCUCCGGUUUGCUCGUGUGAUGGAGCUGCCACGUGAAAUAGCGAUGCUCUCAAGCCUCCGGCACUUGUCUGUGAGCAACGAUUUGUACGGCACAUCAGUCACUGGUAGCAUCUGCAAGCUCAAGCACUUGCAAACUCUCCGAGAGGUGAAGGCCAACAAAGAUUUGGUUCAGAAUCUGGGGUGCCUGACGCAGCUAAGAAGCCUGGGCAUCACGGCAGUCCUUCCAGGCCAUGGCGUGGACCUGUGGACUUCGAUCGGAAAGAUGACCGUCCUGACGAAACUGGCAGUCGGAACUCGCGGCGAAAACGACGAAGUCCACAGUUUGGACAAGUUCAAGCCGCUCAGAAACCUGGAGAAGUUUUACCUGACGGGCAAGCUGGAGAAAGGGGUGCUUUUUCCGGAGUCCGAGGGGUUUGACAGGCUCAAGGUCCUGACAAUGCGCUGGUCCGGGCUGGCGCAGGACCCGCUCAAAUCCUUGUCUGAAAUGGGGAACCUAGUUUACCUCAACCUCUAUUGUGCGUAUGACGGGGAGUCCCUGGCGUUCUGUUCUGGAUGGUUUCCCAAGCUAAAGCGGCUGUUCCUAGGGAAGCUGGACAAUCUGAGUUCAGUUGAGAUAAGCGAUGGCUCCAUGACCAACUUGACAUACCUAGAACUUCGUGAGCUCUGGAGACUGGAAGCCGUGCCUGAAGGCCUCGGGUACCUUAGGUCGCUUCAGCACCUGUAUGCGCGGAACAUGCCGAGGGACUUCGCCGCGCAGCUGGAAGGAGGCCGCAAGGGAUCUGUUCAGCAUAUUGCCAACAUCGAA
RNAcentral lists this ribosomal RNA (2715 nucleotides) under Triticum aestivum (bread wheat). Its description in RNAcentral is "partial small subunit ribosomal RNA". The record is from RNAcentral. Lineage: Eukaryota; Viridiplantae; Streptophyta; Magnoliopsida; Poales; Poaceae.